AAUAUGAAGGCGGGCUGGAACCUCUCGGGGUUACAGCCUUGCUGAAUUAUUCACCCUUGUCUUUUGCGUACUUCUUGUUUCCUUGGUGGGUUCGCCCACCACUAGGACAAACAUAAACCUUUUGUAAUUGCAAUCAGCGUCAGUAACAAAUUAAUAAUUACAACUUUCAACAACGGAUCUCUUGGUUCUGGCAUCGAUGAAGAACGCAGCGAAAUGCGAUAAGUAGUGUGAAUUGCAGAAUUCAGUGAAUCAUCGAAUCUUUGAACGCACAUUGCGCCCUUUGGUAUUCCAAAGGGCAUGCCUGUUCGAGCGUCAUUUGUACCCUCAAGCUUUGCUUGGUGUUGGGCGUCUUGUCUCUAGCUUUGCUGGAGACUCGCCUUAAAGUAAUUGGCAGCCGGCCUACUGGUUUCGGAGCGCAGCACAAGUCGCACUCUCUAUCAGCAAAGGUCUAGCAUCCAUUAAGCCUUUUUUUCAACUUUUGACCUCGGAUCAGGUAGGGAUACCCGCUGAACUUAAGCAUAUCAAUAAGCG
Molecule: ribosomal RNA, 531 nt
Filed under: uncultured fungus
Lineage: Eukaryota; Fungi
Description: eukaryotic LSU rRNA
Rfam family: 5.8S ribosomal RNA (bases 162-315)
Source: RNAcentral